GACGAACGCUGGCGGCGUGCUUAACACAUGCAAGUCGAACGGAAAGGCCCUGCUUUUGUGGGGUGCUCGAGUGGCGAACGGGUGAGUAACACGUGAGUAACCUGCCCUUGACUUUGGGAUAACUUCAGGAAACUGGGGCUAAUACCGGAUAGGAGCUCCUGCUGCAUGGUGGGGGUUGGAAAGUUUCGGCGGUUGGGGAUGGACUCGCGGCUUAUCAGCUUAUUGGUGGGGUAGUGGCUUACCAAGGCUUUGACGGGUAGCCGGCCUGAGAGGGUGACCGGCCACAUUGGGACUGAGAUACGGCCCAGACUCCUACGGGAGGCAGCAGUGGGGAAUAUUGCACAAUGGGCGGAAGCCUGAUGCAGCAACGCCGCGUGCGGGAUGACGGCCUUCGGGUUGUAUACCGCUUUCGCCUGUGACGAAGCGUGAGUGACGGUAAUGGGUAAAGAAGCACCGGCUAACUACGUG
RNAcentral lists this ribosomal RNA (468 nucleotides) under uncultured bacterium. RNAcentral's name for it is "partial 16S ribosomal RNA". It matches the Rfam family "Bacterial small subunit ribosomal RNA", at positions 28 to 507 of the family's 1533-position model. The record is from RNAcentral.